GAUGAACGCUGGCGGCGUGCCUAACACAUGCAAGUCGAGCGGAAGGACGCUGCUUGCGCGUCGCUGGAGUUGCGGACGGGUGAGUAAGUAAUAGGUGGAUAACCGAUCUCUAUGGCUGAGGUAAGGUCAGGAGAGCGGAUCUCAGAUCGGACCAUAUCUUGAACCGGAGGGUUCAAAAGAGCAAGACCGUCUAGCUGUGACUUAGCGACCUAUCCGCGCUGCAGUAGCUAGUUGGUAAGGUAACGGCUUACCGAGGCAACGAUGCGUAGCCGAGCUGAGAGGGUGAUCGGCCACACUGGAACUGAGACACGGUCCAGACUCCUACGAGAGGCAGCAGUCGGGAAUGUUGCACAAUGGGCGAAAGCCUGACGGAGCAAGGCCGCGUGAGUGAUGAAGGUCUUCGGAUCGUAAACCGCUUUUAGUUGGGAAGAACAUAUGUGUCAGUAACUGUGCCCAUUUUGACGGUACCUAAUCAGAAAGCCACGGCUAACUUCGUG
RNAcentral lists this ribosomal RNA (497 nucleotides) under uncultured bacterium. RNAcentral describes it as "partial 16S ribosomal RNA". It matches the Rfam family "Bacterial small subunit ribosomal RNA", at positions 28 to 507 of the family's 1533-position model. The record is from RNAcentral.